GAACGCUGGCGGUAGGCCUAACACAUGCAAGUCGAACGGCAGCACAGUAAGAGCUUGCUCUUACGGGUGGCGAGUGGCGGACGGGUGAGGAAUACAUCGGAAUCUACUUUUUCGUGGGGGAUAACGUAGGGAAACUCACGCUAAUACCGCAUACGACCUACGGGUGAAAGCAGGGGAUCUUCGGACCUUGCGCGAUUGAAUGAGCCGAUGUCGGAUUAGCUAGUUGGCGGGGUAAAGGCCCACCAAGGCGACGAUCCGUAGCUGGUCUGAGAGGAUGAUCAGCCACACUGGAACUGAGACACGGUCCAGACUCCUACGGGAGGCAGCAGUGGGGAAUAUUGGACAAUGGGCGCAAGCCUGAUCCAGCCAUACCGCGUGGGUGAAGAAGGCCUUCGGGUUGUAAAGCCCUUUUGUUGGGAAAGAAAAGCAGCAGGUUAAUACCCCGCUGUUCUGACGGUACCCAAAGAAUAAGCACCGGCUAACUUCGUG
Molecule: ribosomal RNA, 489 nt
Filed under: uncultured bacterium
Lineage: Bacteria
Description: partial 16S ribosomal RNA
Rfam family: Bacterial small subunit ribosomal RNA
Source: RNAcentral